AAUCUGUCUCCCUCGUGCCGCCGCCUCGCUAGGGUUCGGCUCCACCGUCGCCGCCGCCGCGCACCGCGACCGCCUGCCGUCACCGCGCACCGCGACCGCCUGCCGCCGAGCGCCUCGACCGCCUGCCGCCGCGCACCUCGACCGCCUGCCGCCGCCGCCACCACCGCCAUCCCGGCGCUUCCCACCUUCGUCCUUUUCCACGAUGCUCCGUCUCCGGCCGUCUGCCCUGACUCCCAGGCAGCCAUAGUCCGAGCUCAUCUACCCUGAUUCCCUGACAUCGACCCCCGAGCUUCUUUCCCGUCAAUUCCCGGGCCUAGGCCAUUCUCCGCCUUCCACGAUCCAUAUCUUCAUCGGCGCCCUUUCACUCUUCCGUCAUGGCAAUGCAAGACCAUCCUUCUCCGUGUGGUCGCCACCCCCAAAUCCUGCUGGAUAGAAAUUGUUUAGUGGGCCAGUUGGAAAAUUCCACUACCGCAAAAACCAAGAAUAGCAAAGGGCAUCACUUGGAGCUUUCUUUUAAAGCAGUUGACCCUCCAGCUAUCUCGUUGUGCCUCGUCAGCUGCGUUGAUCAGACAGGGGAGCUCUUGCCAGUAGAUCCUCGUAUACUUGGUGAGUCUGGAGGGUCUGUACUGCUGGCUUUCACUUUCUUCGGGAGUGUCCACCAUUUACCAUUCACCGACUAUUUCGUUUACAAAGCAGGGCCAAAUUUUCCCUGUCUUCAUCUUAUUCCAAGGCCAUAUCCAUCUUCUUUUGAGGCAAAUUUGGUUGCUAUCCUGCCUGUUAAUGAUAACAGUGAAGACUUUGCUGUCGUUUUUCCUCAUGUUGAAUAUUUCGGGCUCGAGUCUCGCAAACAUUACACACUCCACAUUUAUCGAUCUGAUGCAAAUGAUUGGCACACUCAGGUGGCUCAUAUCGCCGAGGAUAAUGAAACAAGGAUAGCUAAGCGUAAGCUAUUGCUUCAUGAUGCCAUGAGCGUGGCAUAUGCAGAAAAUGGUAUCAUAGGUUGGAUUGAUCUUUGGUGGGGAAUUCUCUUAUGCAAUGUCUUGGAUAAAAAGCCUAUCAUCCGUUUUGUUCCAUUGCCAGUACCUGAACCAUGUGAUGCUUCUGAAUUCCAUUUGACGUUUGAGAAUCUAACCCCAAGACCACACCGUCAUGUGACGAUAUUCAAUGAUUUGAUCAAGUUUGUUGAGUUAGAUUUUCAUGUGCAAGAUGCUUUCUGCAACAUGAAGCGAGGAAAAGAUUAUGGUUGGAUGGCUAGGACCUGGAGUAGAUCGAUUUAUUCAGAUAUUUGGCAUGAUGGUCUGACGUUUGAUACAUCUGAGUUAUCUUUCAGUGAUUCAAGUUUGCCGAAUCUUUUACCUGAGAUGUUUGAUGACAAAAACAGUUUGACAUGGGGGAAUUUGACCAGUGCUGGGCCUACAUUAAGCUUGCACGAUGACAAUGUUAUUUACAUUAUGGCGAAGGAGAGCAUGUGCCACCGGACAGCAUAUGUACUUGCUGUGAAUGGUAAAAGUUUGAAGCUUGAGUCUUGUGCGCCUUGCUCUGCUGAAAACAUGUUGUGGUUUGAACCAACCUAUGAUCCGUGUGUUCUUUUUAGGUCUUUUGGCACAACUUCAGAGUCGGUUAAAGAAUUUGAAACCAAAGGGACAAUAUCUGAAACCAAGGAAGGGCUGGCUCUCUCAGUGGUGUCGAAGCGUCUUCGCGUGCUGCGGAAGAAGCAGGAUCGCAUUGCGCAGAUGGAGGAGUCGGUCGCCGCCGGCAAGGUGCUUAACCAGGACCAGAAGGAGGUGAUGCAUUCAAAGCCCACCAUCGCCGCGCUCAUUGACGAGCUCGAGCGCCUCCGCGUGCCACUCUCCACUGCCCUCACCAAAGAGCUCUCCACCGUCCCUGCACCUGCUGCCGGUUCCUCAUCCUUUGGCUCCGAUUUGUCCAUCCAAGACCUCCUCGCGCUUGUCUACUUUGGCUCCCUUUUUUAUGUCAAGUCACCAGACGAGUUCAUCACCACCAUGGUUGCACGCAAGCACGAGCGGAGCAGCUGCAUCACCUACGGCUAUGUAUGGGAUGAUACCGUGGACCUGCUUACGGAGAACGACCUUGAUGCAGUGUCUGCUGUGGCGGCCCUUGCCACGGCUCGCCCUGCUUCUGCGGUUGGCGUCUCCCACCAUGACGCACUCCAGGCCUGUGCCCAUCAUGCCCGCCUAUGGCUCACCCGUGCUGAUGUGCCGAUCCACCCUGGCUCCUCUGUUACAUGUGAUGGUUGAUAUAGGUCUGUAAUUUGGUUUGUUCUGAGCUCAUUGCUGAUUGAAAUCUGCGGCUUUUCGCUGUAGAUGCUGCGGUGAGGUCCAAGUUAGACAGGAUCAUGGCAUCGGACUACUACACGGCGCACCAUGCAUCUGAAAGUGUGCAGGCACUGAUGAGCAUGACUGUCUCACCAGAGGCACCAUCACUUAAGGAGAACAUAGCUGCUGAAGGUCACAAGGAGGAGGAGGAAGACUCCUCGCAUGCCACAGAAAUCUACAAUGGUCAUCAGUCUAAUGCAGCCGAUGUGCAAAAUAUGGAAGGUAAAUCCCCGGUGAACCCUCAUGAGGAAUAUCCCUUGGCUGAGGCAGAGCAGGAGAAGUUUGAUGUGGAAGAACAAGAUCAGAGGUAUGCCGAGCCAAAAGAGCGACAGUUUCAGCGCCCUCGGCGAUCUUUUCAGAACCAGCGAGGUGGUGAUCGUGGCAGGAGGGGGGCUUACCCUAAUGGCCAUGGCAGGCAUGGAGGCGGCCGUGGCAUGGGCAGCGCAUACCAGAAUGGGCGUGGAGGAGGUGGUGGUGGUGGAUACCAAGGAGGCGGUGGUGAGUACCAGAAUGGCUGGGGUGGCGGGGGCGGGGGCGGGUACUACAACAACAACGAUGAUGGGUACUACCAGCCUAGUAACUUCAACAACAGGGGCAGGGGCGCAGGGAGGUGGCCACGCAAACACCGAGAGGGUUGA
This 2974-nucleotide ribosomal RNA is filed under the name Triticum aestivum (bread wheat). Its description in RNAcentral is "partial small subunit ribosomal RNA". Lineage: Eukaryota; Viridiplantae; Streptophyta; Magnoliopsida; Poales; Poaceae. The record is from RNAcentral.